This is a microRNA precursor of Oryctolagus cuniculus (rabbit), 71 nucleotides long. NCBI's taxonomy places the organism in Eukaryota, Metazoa, Chordata, Mammalia, Lagomorpha, Leporidae. The record is from Rfam.
UUUAAAAGGUGGAUUUUCCUUCUAUGUUUAUGUAUUUGUGGUUAAACAUAGAGGAAAAUCCACAUUUUCAG